GAUCGGCUGUCGUGUCGAAGUAUACAAAAGGAAAUCGACUGGCUACCAGAUUAUUAUUCCAGGCACGCCAUUUGAACGUCCGUUCCUUCUAAAACAUUCCACGAUACGAUAGGUAGUGCCAGUCGAAGACAACGCUUCUUUCCGAACGUGCAAGUGCGACGCGAAUGAGAUACGUUUGUGCAACACAAAUCUAAAAGGUAUUUAGUCGGCGAGAUGAAGUGUAAACUGGUUGUGUUCGGCGAAGACCUGCUAAAAGGAAGUCUGAAAUGAUCAGGAUGUACAGAGAACAUCACAUAGUACUGUUAGUCAUAUAUCCACACUGCGGCCUUACCCGCUGAUGAAACACAGGCAAACUCUAGGAAGACAUAUUGCGUCCUCCGCAGCUUCAGGAGCGGAGAGGCGAUCAAUACGUCGCUCUAGAACGGAGAAGGAACGGAAGCUACGUCAUUGGGAGACUUUGGUGCUUGUGGGGAGCGGAAAGGGGUCGAGGUAAAGGGACCUUUUCCAGGCGAUUCCUCGAGAGGCAGAGGAGAGGAGACCAGGCCUGGCUCAGACCAGAUAUGCCCAGCUAUGAGCGCGAAAAGAUGAUGAGACGAAGGGUGGUCCCUGGAUUUUGCAUCUCUCUUUCUCCAGAAGGGUAGUUGACAGGGACUCCAAACCGAGACUGCACGACUCGAACCGAGCGUCAACGAGA
Harpegnathos saltator (Jerdon's jumping ant) is the source of this 694-nucleotide long non-coding RNA. RefSeq lists it as uncharacterized. The record is from RefSeq and is a predicted model, not a curated record. The transcript has 3 exons. NCBI's taxonomy places the organism in Eukaryota, Metazoa, Arthropoda, Insecta, Hymenoptera, Formicidae.